UUGGAAAAUUUUCCUCAAUGAUAUAUAUUUGAAAAUUUCACCUUCAACCCCUACAGCCAUGAAUUAAAAACUAAAUCGUCAAUAUUCAUAGUUCCCUCAGAGGUCUGUCCCGUUAUUUUGAACCAGGCAGGAGGGAGAGCUCAUUUCUACGCAAGGAAGAAAGAGCAAUCGAGGAGAAUGGACGCGAAUUUUUUUAAUCGAGUUGAGCACCUACUGCAGAACCCAAAUGCAGAUAUGGUGAAAUGAAGGUCAAAUCAGCGAAAUACGAGCUGCUGAAAUAAUGCAGAAAUUCAAAGUGGAAACUACCAAGGUGCCGAUGCCUCGAGAAAAUGUUCGCAAGCCCAAGCCCGACAAAUGGGCUUUCCUGGAGGAAAUAGAUGCCCCUCAGUGGGUUGAUUUUGCUUUGGAGAGAAGUUCCCAUUGCCAAGAACGGGAUGAUAGCUGGUUCGACACUGUGCAUUCGUUUCAUCAGAAAUCAUUCCAUGACCUAGUGUCUGCUUCUACACUUGCUGGACAAACGAAGUGUAAGGUCAAAAAACCAGUUCAUUUUAAUACAGGCCUUGUUAACUCUGUUUCAAAAACAAGGGGCAGUAAGCAAUUGCCGAGGAACAAGGUGGCAGGAAUUUCCAUAGAUUUAUCAGGAAUGGAUAAACCACACAACUGCCAGACCAGGAUAGCAGAGGAUAAACCUAUGCCAUUCAAAUCAAAUGGUAAUAUUAAUAGAGGUAGGAGUGCUUUUCUGCAGAAGUUGAGUGAUAACACUGCAACCACAUCUCGCUCACAGAUACCUAUAAUUGGAAACGGACUGAAAAAUUCAAGAUAUGAACAAGCCAAGUCAUCAACGGUUUAUCGUCUCAAGAAUCAAUCAACAACUUUCUCACAGAUACCUGGUAAGGAAAAUGAAUCGAAAGAUCAAAUGGACGAUCAAGUUAAGCCAUCAGUGGCUGCUGGCCUUUCCAAUCAAUCAGACGAAGCUUGCUCACAAAUACCCAGUAAGGGGAUUGAAAUGAAAAACCAAAUAGAUGAACAAGUUCAAUCAUCAACAGUUGGUACCCUUUCUGAUCAAUCAGCUGAAGCGUGCUCACAGAGACCCACUGAGGGAAAUGAGUUGAAAGAUCAAAUAGAUGAACAAGUUAAGUCAUUAACAGUUUCUGGUCCGAUCAGUCAAUCAACUGAAACUUGCUCGCAUAUGUUCAGCAUGAGACAUGAAUUAAAAAAUCAAACUGACGUACAACUUAAUUCAUCAGAAAUUGGUGACCUCAAUAAUCAAUCAAUGGCUGUUGAGAUUAGAGCUCCAAUGUCUAGAACUUCUGGACUGCUGUCGAUGCUUAAAAUGGCUAGCCUGAGGAGAAGCUGUGGAAUGUUGCCAAUGAGGGUGGAGGUGAAGGAUGCAGAGGAACCAAAAGACAGGGAUUCUUCUAAUAAGGUAAGCACUGGAUCUUUGGGUGGGAGAAGUAGAAAAAUAUCCAGUAUUGGAUCAAUCAAUAACAAUUCACAAGAGGUCAAGAAAGAGGGCAAAGUUAAGAUAUUGAAAAAUCCAGUUCAAGGUAGCACUAUAUCUCCAAUUGAGCACAAUGGAAAGAAGUCAAGCAUUGGGUCAUCUAGUACUAUUGUAGAGAAAUCCCAAAUAGGACGUGAAGCAGCAGUGACUCAAAAGAAAACCAGAGGAGCUUUAAAAGCAGUUGGAAGAAAGCAAGGGCAACCAAUCAGGGAUGUUUCACGAGAUUUGGCAAGAAGUCAAGGGCAGUUGAUUGGAGGUAGAAAUUGUGAUGGUGUUCUUUCCACGCGAACAAAAAAUGCUUGUAGAAAACCUCUACAGAAUGUACAUAAUGCAGUACUGUCUCAACGCAAUGUUGGCAUGCUUCAAAACCAGAGAUUUGCUGGAAAAGAAAACAAUCAUUUGGGAACCAUCCAAAUGUCGAAAGUCAAGAGAGUAGAAGCAAAGAAGCCUCUUACAACGAUCAAGGGCACUGUGCACCGUCAGAUGGGUCAAGUGGGACAAAAACCCCAAUGGUUUUUAAAGCCGAGGACAAAAACCCUUUGUCUUCAUCAGAGUGGUUUCAUACAGGGAUCGAUAGAGUGCUGAAGGUUUUGAGUGGGGACAAAAACCCUCAUUCAUUGGUGUAGUUUCAAAGUCAGAUCCAGACAGGGUUCACAUUGGUCUUGAAGACUUCAAAGAUAAGUUAUUAUUUGAAUUAGUAUCAAAUUUUGUGUGUUUGGUAACAUUUUCAGUUUUGAAUGCCAUAGUUGAUGAAAUAUUAUAUAUUGGGCGAUGGUUUUUUGGAGAGAGGUUGAUUGAGUUUGGUGAUAUUGGUGUGGUGUGUGGGUUUCUUAUUUGGGCGAUUGUGGUAUCUUAAUUUACAUGGGAAAAAGACUUGACAUUGGCAUGGGAAAUAGGUGAAGGUCGAAGCUUUUUAGCAAGGAGGACAGGUCUGUAGAGGACGUAGCCAUCAAAGUCCUAAUAAGACAAAACAAAAUUUCAACACAACACUUUGUGGUAAUCCCAACUGGCCAUAUAGCUUGCCUCGGAGGAAAUUGUAACCUUUGAGGUAAAUAUUUAUUGGUUAUGACUGCCGCACUAUUCAAAUAGGGAAUUGUGCCAUAACAAGUGAAGUCAAGUGUGUAUCUUAUUCCAAAUCGAGGUUUUAGAUUAUCAACAUCAGAUAUAAAGGGGAUGUGUGAAGCUAAAUACUAAUUGUUUGGCUUCAUUUCUGGUGGGCAUUGGGAAAAAUCCUUGCAUUCCUGUGAGUGGCGAUUGAGUAACCAAUAUAUUCCAGAUAUUGGAGUUGCCAUUACUCAAGCUAGGUGUUUAUGAGGCAGGUUGUAGAGUAUUCUGUGUAUUGUGUGGCGUGGGAUUGAUACAGUCAAGUCCUGACCUCCAGGGGAAAACAAUACCACUCAAAUUAUGGUGAAAACAUUCUGCAAUAAGAGCAUAUAAGCUGCUCACAACAGAGGAUUCAUUGCUGGAAAGGUUGGGUGAAUCGCGGGAAGCUUUGUAGUGUCCAUAUUGAAGUUUGAAUGGGUCUGAAACAAUUCUGAGGUCUCAGCAAUCCAUUGCAUUCUUGGCCAUGGAGAUUGGAGCUCAUUGAGAGCUUGUUGCAUAUCCAUGUUUGAAGAAUUGAAGCCACUGUUAAAGGAACCUUGGCAAGUUGAGUCAUUUGCAAUCUGCUGUCAAUCAAUUAUAUCUGCUUCAAAUAAAGGAAGAAAUUAUUAGAUCUGCACAACCUAAGAUCGAGAGCAUGAUUCAUUCAAUUAAGGACAUAAAACAGGU
RNA transcript from Cryptomeria japonica (Japanese cedar), 3271 nucleotides. RefSeq lists it as uncharacterized. NCBI's taxonomy places the organism in Eukaryota, Viridiplantae, Streptophyta, Pinopsida, Cupressales, Cupressaceae. The transcript is spliced from 8 exons. The record is from RefSeq and is a predicted model, not a curated record.